GAGUGAAGAGGGAAGAGCUCAUCAUUGGAAUCUGGCAGUGUUUCACUGUCCGAGUUGUAGAUGAGGAGUAGUCCGUCUGGACUGCAUGGCGUCCAAGUACAAUAGGCCGUCAGUGGGACAUCAUAGAGGGUGACAAUCCCGUCCUUGACGCCAAUGUGCAAGUCUAUUACGAUGGCUAUCUCAGAGAGUCGAGCAGUUUGGGAUUUGCUGCUUAAACAUGGGAGGUAGAUUCCUUCUAAAGCUAAAUACAGGCGAGAGACCGAUAGAGAACAAGUACCGCAAGGGAAAGAUGAAAUAGCACUCUGUGAAGGGAGUCAAAAGGCGUGAAAUUGUUGCGAGAGAAGCGAUUCAAGUCAGCGUAGCUAGGCCCAUCAAGCGUCUUCGCUUUGGACUAGCUUUGCCAGCGGUCUUGUCCCUUAAAGAGACUUGACUUGUAAUAUGUCCAGCCUGGCGUGCACAGGCAGCCCCUUCUGGGGGCCAGUGACAUGGCUGGUGGAAUGGCUUGCAAUCGACCCGUCUUGAAACACGGACCAAGGAGUCUAACAUGUAUGCGAGUAUAAGGGUGGCAAACCCGUAUGCGCAAUGAAAGUGAUUUUCGGUGAUUGAGAAUGGCCUGAUGACCAGACAAGCAAUAUAUGUCCCUCGUACGGCCAUUGCCCAAGUUCCGUGGUAGAUCCCACGAACAUGGAGUUGGAGCAUACAUGCUAGGACCCGAAAGAUGGUGAACUAUGCCUGGACAAAGCGAAGCCAAAGGAAACUCUGGUGGAGGCUUGUAGCGAUUCUGACGUGCAAAUCGAUCGUCUGAUCUG
RNAcentral lists this ribosomal RNA (809 nucleotides) under Cantharellus cibarius (golden chanterelle). Its description in RNAcentral is "eukaryotic LSU rRNA". It matches the Rfam family "Eukaryotic large subunit ribosomal RNA", at positions 91 to 913 of the family's 3401-position model. The record is from RNAcentral. Lineage: Eukaryota; Fungi; Basidiomycota; Agaricomycetes; Cantharellales; Hydnaceae.